UCCCAUGCCCCUGUCUACUUUUAUGAGUUCGAUCAUAAGGCCAAGUACCUCAAUGAUGUCAGACCACCCCAUGUGAAAGCUGACCAUGGAGAUGAGGUGCCCUUUGUCUUUGGGAACUCCUUCUGGGGCAUGCAACUUGACCUCACUGCGGAGGAGAAGCUGCUGAGCAGAAGCAUCAUGAAGUACUGGGCCAACUUUGCACGGCAUAGGAACCCCAACAGCUUGGGUCUACCCCACUGGCCUGUUUUUGACCACGGUGA
RNAcentral lists this long non-coding RNA (260 nucleotides) under Mus musculus (house mouse). RNAcentral's name for it is "predicted gene, 63359". The record is from RNAcentral. Lineage: Eukaryota; Metazoa; Chordata; Mammalia; Rodentia; Muridae.